RNAcentral lists this ribosomal RNA (754 nucleotides) under Rhodocollybia lignitilis. RNAcentral describes it as "eukaryotic LSU rRNA". The stretch from base 302 to 455 matches the Rfam family "5.8S ribosomal RNA". The record is from RNAcentral. Lineage: Eukaryota; Fungi; Basidiomycota; Agaricomycetes; Agaricales; Omphalotaceae.
CUGCGGAAGGAUCAUUAUUGAAAUUGAAAAAGAAAGAAAAGAGGGAGGUUGAUGAAAGUGUUUUAUGUCUGCAUGUUGCUGGCCUUUGAAACAAUAAGGCAUGUGCACUGUUGAUGCUCAUCGACUGAACUUUUUUUUCUUUCUUUCUUCGCUUUUCAUCCACCUGUGCACUUUUUGUAGAAGUUCUUGUUGUUGAGAUGAGACUUCUAUGUUCUUUACAAACUAAAAAUGUUGAGAAUGUGUUGUUAUAUUUUAUUGGGACUUCAUUGACCCAUAAAAAAAAAAAAAACCCCUUUAACCAACUUUUCAGCAAAGGAUCUCUUGGCUCUCCCAUCGAUGAAGAACGCAGCGAAAUGCGAUAAGUAAUGUGAAUUGCAGAAUUCAGUGAAUCAUCGAAUCUUUGAACGCACCUUGCACCCUCUGGUAUUCCGGAGGGUAUGCCUGUUUGAGUGUCAUUAACUUCUCAACUUCAAAAAGGUUUUCUUUUUUUGUUGUUUGGAUGUGGAGGUUUUGCUGGUUAUCUCGUUUGAGUUUCAGCUCCUCUUAAAUGCAUUAGUGGAGACUUAUAACCCGUUGUGUUGAUCCCAUUUUGAUGUGAUAAUUAUCUACAUUUUAGUGGUUUCAGCUUUGCUCUCAGAAAUCUGAUUUCUGGUUGAGAAUAUUGCAAGGAUCUAUCUUUGGCUUUAUUCUGAUAGUGGGUUGUAUGUAUGCGUCUGCUUUCUAACUGUAAUCACCUUAUUGAUAAUUGACCUCA